GACGAACGCUGGCGGCGUGCUUAACACAUGCAAGUCGAACGAAGAGCGAUGGAAGCUUGCUUCUAUCAUUCUUAGUGGCGCACGGGUGAGUAACGCGUAAUCAACCUGCCCUUCAGAGGGGGACAACAGUUGGAAACGACUGCUAAUACCGCAUACGAUCUAACCUCGGCAUCGAGGAUAGAUGAAAGGUGGCCUCUACAUGUAAGCUAUCACUGAAGGAGGGGAUUGCGUCUGAUUAGCUAGUUGGAGGGGUAACGGCCCACCAAGGCGAUGAUCAGUAGCCGGUCUGAGAGGAUGAACGGCCACAUUGGGACUGAGACACGGCCCAGACUCCUACGGGAGGCAGCAGUGGGGAAUCUUCCGCAAUGGACGAAAGUCUGACGGAGCAACGCCGCGUGAGUGAUGACGGCCUUCGGGUUGUAAAGCUCUGUUAAUCGGGACGAAAGGCCUUCUUGCGAAUAGUUAGAAGGAUUGACGGUACCGGAAUAGAAAGCCACGGCUAACUACGUG
Molecule: ribosomal RNA, 510 nt
Filed under: uncultured bacterium
Lineage: Bacteria
Description: partial 16S ribosomal RNA
Rfam family: Bacterial small subunit ribosomal RNA
Source: RNAcentral